UACGUAGGUGGCAAGCGUUGUCCGGAUUUAUUGGGUUUAAAGGGUGCGUGGCGGUCUAUUAAGUCAGUUGUGAAAUACGGCAGCUCAACUGUCGAGGUGCAAUUGAUACUGAUGGACUUGAGUACUGAUGAGGUAAGCGGAAUGGACGGUGUAGCGGUGAAAUGCUUAGAUAUCGUCCAGAACACCGAUAGCGAAGGCAGCUUACUAAGGAGUAACUGACGCUGAGGCACGAAAGUGUGGGGAUCAAACAGG
RNAcentral lists this ribosomal RNA (252 nucleotides) under uncultured bacterium. RNAcentral describes it as "partial 16S ribosomal RNA". It matches the Rfam family "Bacterial small subunit ribosomal RNA", at positions 524 to 776 of the family's 1533-position model. The record is from RNAcentral.